Molecule: ribosomal RNA, 778 nt
Filed under: uncultured Neocallimastigales
Lineage: Eukaryota; Fungi; Neocallimastigomycota; Neocallimastigomycetes; Neocallimastigales
Description: partial large subunit ribosomal RNA
Rfam family: Eukaryotic large subunit ribosomal RNA
Source: RNAcentral
UAUCUCUGUAGAGUCUGCAUAUCAAUAAGCGGAGGAAAAGAAACUAACUAGGAUUCCCUCAGUAACGGCGAGUGAAGCGGGAAGAGCUCAAAUUUGAAAUCUUCAAGGUUCUACCUUGACGAAUUGUAGUUUAAAGAAGUGUUUUCUGUUGGAGUUUUGGUAAAAGUUCUUUGGAAUAGGACAUCAUAGAGGGUGAGGAAUCCCGUAUUUGACCAUUUACUUUCAGCUUUGUGAUACACUUUCAAAGAGUCGGAUUGUUUGGGAAUGCAGUCCAAAAUGAGUGGUAAAUUUCAUCUAAAGCUAAAUACUUGGCGAGAGACCGAUAGCGAACAAGUACCGUGAGGGAAAGAUGAAAAGAACUUUGAAAAGAGAGUUAAACAGUACGUGAAAUUGUCAAAAGGGAAGCGUUUGACACCAGUGUUGUUUUCUCGAAAAUCAAUUAAAAAAAGUUGGAUUUUGUAUUGUUAAGACCUUAUCAGCUUACUGUACUCUUUUCUUGCUUUUUUUAAUGCACUUUUCGUUUAACAAGUCAACAUCAAUUUCUUUUGUUGUAAAAGAGUCAUUGGAAGGUGGCUUUCACUUCGGUGAAAGUGUUUAUAGCCUUUGGCCUUCUGCAAUCGGAGAGAUUGAGGUCUGCAGCGUAGAUCCUUCGGGGUUAGAUACAUUUGUGCUAAGUUAUAGCCUUUCAUAGACAACUUGUUGACUAUGAUCAGUCAUGUAGCUUACUCGCUUAUGCUAUUUUACCUACGCUUAGGAUGUUGACGAUCAGCUGAGCGCG